Long non-coding RNA from Oncorhynchus tshawytscha (Chinook salmon), 2322 nucleotides. Lineage: Eukaryota; Metazoa; Chordata; Actinopteri; Salmoniformes; Salmonidae. The record is from Ensembl.
CUUGUGAGUGGGUUUUCACAUGUCAUCGGGCUAGAAAUUUCUUCGGACCUGGCAACCCUGGAGAGCUUUCAGUUGACGUAGAACGCCUCCUGGCGGCUAUGUUGGAAGACUACUGCAUUAAUUAUUCUGACUACAGCCGAGGGGCUACCCCAAACUGAAUGAUAAAAGUGACUAGAACUAGUUGAUUCAUCACCACGGUCAUUUUCUGUGGAGUAUAUGGCUGCUCAAACGAGGCCGGAAACACAAAGGGGGGAAAAGAUGUUUACAGAUUCCCCGCAAUCAUGAAACACCAUUGGCAAUACCAAUGAGAUAAGACUCAAGAACUCAGAGAAGCGAAGAAACCUUUUUGCCCGUCAAGACCUCAACCCAGACAGCUGUCAAUACAGGGUUUGCUACGAUCAUUUCAUCAUUGAGAACACUUCAAAAUGAGAAGAUCCUGCCAUGGAAAAGAAGACUGGGUGGACAUAACGUGUAAAGGAGGGGAAAUAACUCAUAACAUGCAGCAGGACACCUUCAGCUGUGGGGUCUUUGUAAUUGUAGAUGGCCAAGGAAGUUGCACAGAACUUCCCCAACAUCCCCUUCCAAAUUGAUAUGGAACCUUCAAAAGCACAUGGAGCAACUGCGGAAAGAAAUGGCUGAGGAUAGACAAAAAAUGUCUGAGUUCAACAAAGCCAACAACUGCUUCAUGUGGGCCACUGAUAAAGAACCUGGAUGUGGCCCAAAGACUGACUGGGAAUGAAGACAAAAGAGUUCAACAGAGUAAAGAACACAAACUGGAAGUGCUGUCUUUGUUGUUAAAAAUUAGGUUCACCAGCUGACCUAUAUCAAGACACCCAGGUUGACUGGAUUCCCCCUGUGAAGAUGAGUAAUGCUGCAGCAGCAUCAGUUUCUACUACUUCAUCUUUUUCCAGACAUGAAAGAAGACUCCCCUCAGUUAUAUGACAUGGUUGUCAUAUGCUGUGCUUUGGACAAUUUGAAUGAUUCUGUUGUGUCAAUUGAGUAGAGCACCUUGUCAUGACAAAAGUGCCCCCUUAAACUGUAUGAAUAUAAUGUAUUUGGAACGUUUCAAAGACUUGUUGAUAUUGUAAACAUACUGUACUUUAAGCCAUAUUGUUGUCCAAGUGUAAAGACAAGUAUUUUGUCAUCUUUGCUUUGCCUAGCCCCAUUGAAUAAAAAGUAUUUCUUAUGGCCCAACUAUUGCCAUGUUCCUUGCUUUUCAGAAACGUGGUUCUCAAACAAGGUGCACCCCAUGGCUAUCCAACUCGAUGGAUUCUUCUUUCACCAGGCAGACAGGAUAGUGGAGUUGGUUCCGGUCAUUUUAAUUUGGCGUCACUAAAUCAAAAAGAUAUAUAAUUCACAUGCGCCAAAUACAACAGGUAUAGAUAGACCUUACAGUGAAAUGCUUACUUACAAGCCCUUAGCCAACAAUGCAGUUAGGAAAAAUAAGUGUUAAAGUAUUUACUGAAAUAAACUGAAGAAAAUAAUGAAUAAAAAAAUUGGUGCAACAAUAAAAUAACAUUAGUCAAGGUAAUAUGUACAUGUAGGUAGAGGUAAAGUGACUAUGUUUGUAUAAUAAACAGAGUAGCAGAAAAAGUUUGGCAUGGGCUCUCAAAUCCUGAAAAGGUUCUACAACUGUACCUUUGAGAGCAUAUGGACUGGCUGCAUCACUGCUUGGUAUAGCAAUAGCAUCGCCCUCGAUCGCAUGGCGCUACAGAGGGUUGUAUGGGCAGCCCAGUACAUCACUGAGGCCGAGCUCCCUGCCAUCCUGGACCUCCAUAUCAGGUGAAAGACCCCAACCACCCAUGCCAUAGAUUCUCUGCUGCAGCACAGCAAGAGCUUGAACAGCUUCUAUCCCCAAGCAAUACGACUGAUAAUUAGCUAACAAAAUUGCUACACGGACCAAGUUUACCUUGCAUCUUUAUUGACCUUUUAUUUCAGUGUUUUACACCGUCUAUGCACACUCACAGGGCCCUACACACUGUCACUCCAAAACAAACACUCCAUUUUCUCACUCACACAUAAUAUGCACAUACAUUUAUACAAGCUACACACCCACACGCUGCUGUUACUCUGUUUAUCUUAUAUCCUGUUGCCUAAUCACCUUACCCCUAUACAUAUCUACCUCUAUCACCCCAGUAUCCCUGCACAUGUAAAUAUGGUAUUGGAACAAACUUUUUAAAUAUUUCCUGUAUAUAGUAUGUUUGUUUACUUUAUUGUGUAUUUCAUAUUUCUUGUGUGCUUUUUUCUAGAAAUACAUUUGAUUAUUGCAUUGCUGGUUUUUGAGUUUGCAUUAAAGGCAUUUUACUGUGCAUGUGACAUUAA